Molecule: non-coding RNA, 71 nt
Organism: Alphaproteobacteria bacterium 43-37
Lineage: Bacteria; Pseudomonadati; Pseudomonadota; Alphaproteobacteria
Source: Rfam
GGACAUGCGGAUACAUGGAAAAUAACUGACUCUUAAUCAGUAGGUCAAAGGUUCGAAUCCUUUAGCGCCCA